GCCGCCUCCCUCCCCCGUUUCUAUCUCCUCCGGUCGCAGCCGCCUCUCUCCCCCGUCUGGUUAGCUCUCCCGCCCGUUGCCGCCUCCCUUUCCCCCCUCCGGCGCCACCCCCGUCCGGCCGGGCACUCUCGCCCAUCCAUCCUCAUCCGUCUCUAUCUCGUGUGUAGUGCUGAGCUCCCCGACUUCCUCCACUGUCCUGCGGCUCACGGUUAAUCGAGUUCGGGAGAAGACCUGCGAACAUCAACCGGAGCAGCAGCAGGGAGAUCUGAAAACAGUCUCAUCGAGCCGAAAUCGUCUCAAAAAAACCAAAGACAAGGCUGACACAAGCUAAUGAUGGCAUCUUCAUCAGGUCAACCUGCGAAGCCUGGGAAGAGUGUUGGUGAGGAGUUCGUUGAUCAUCGACUGCUCAGUCGAAAUGUUCGUUAUCCUGAUUCAAAAAAUUUGCCAAGACCCCUGGACAUGGCGGCAUACUUCGAGGAUGAUCCUCCCUGUCAAACAACACACUGCACUAAUGUGGCAGUUGAGCAGCACAAUAAAAAACAGAAGGGUGGUAAGCUAAAGAUAAAGCGUGCUGUUGGAGUUCAUAGCAACAUGUUCGUUUUGGACCAGAAUGACCCAGUGAGUUAUUGGCAUGUUUACUUCAAAGGGCACGAUGGGAGAAGAAGAAGACGGUACAGGUACUUUGCCGAGUUGAGCGGGGUAAAAGGGCCUGAGUUGCUGACAUUUUGCGAAGUCGUGGAUAAAGCUAAUGUUGUGUACUGCCCGCACUGCUUUGGAGGAAUAUAUCACCCCCCAACCACAGAAUCCGGUUCAGCGUCGGAUCGUAGGCUGAACAGUGUAGCAUUGGGUGAAGCUAUACGUGGCCCCGGCAGAAAGAGAAAGGAGGCUGUCAGCUCCAUUGAUUCGAUUCAGGCCUAGAGUAUGUUUGGUUCCGGCAAAAAGAGGUUGUCAUCUCGAUUGAAUCGAUUCAGUCCCAGAGUACAAUGUUGUGAGUCUGCCUGCGUUUUGUGUAUAAAUCAGCUGAACUGGCAUGCUAUGCGAUUGUUCUGAAAUGAUGAAGAUACCAAGUGUAAUUGAACUAGCUUCUGACGCUUACUUUUAUGGGAGCGCCUGGAACUCAUUCGACUGAGAAAUAGAUUGGUCUCAGUUGAAUGACGUGGUGAUGACGUCGUUCGCUAUUUGUCUCAG
RNAcentral lists this ribosomal RNA (1188 nucleotides) under Triticum aestivum (bread wheat). RNAcentral describes it as "partial small subunit ribosomal RNA". Lineage: Eukaryota; Viridiplantae; Streptophyta; Magnoliopsida; Poales; Poaceae. The record is from RNAcentral.